This 465-nucleotide ribosomal RNA is filed under the name uncultured Klebsiella sp. Its description in RNAcentral is "bacterial SSU rRNA". It matches the Rfam family "Bacterial small subunit ribosomal RNA", at positions 338 to 795 of the family's 1533-position model. Lineage: Bacteria; Pseudomonadati; Pseudomonadota; Gammaproteobacteria; Enterobacterales; Enterobacteriaceae. The record is from RNAcentral.
CCUACGGGUGGCAGCAGUGGGGAAUAUUGCACAAUGGGCGCAAGCCUGAUGCAGCCAUGCCGCGUGUGUGAAGAAGGCCUUGGGGUUGUAAAGCACUUUCAGCGGGGAGGAAGGCGGUGAGGUUAAUAACCUCAUCGAUUGACGUUACCCGCAGAAGAAGCACCGGCUAACUCCGUGCCAGCAGCCGCGGUAAUACGGAGGGUGCAAGCGUUAAUCGGAAUUACUGGGCGUAAAGCGCACGCAGGCGGUCUGUCAAGUCGGAUGUGAAAUCCCCGGGCUCAACCUGGGAACUGCAUUCGAAACUGGCAGGCUAGAGUCUUGUAGAGGGGGGUAGAAUUCCAGGUGUAGCGGUGAAAUGCGUAGAGAUCUGGAGGAAUACCGGUGGCGAAGGCGGCCCCCUGGACAAAGACUGACGCUCAGGUGCGAAAGCGUGGGGAGCAAACAGGAUUAGAUACCCUAGUAGUC